This 67-nucleotide small RNA is filed under the name Kamptonema sp. PCC 6506. RNAcentral describes it as "Oscillatoria sp. PCC 6506 Cyanobacterial functional RNA 1". It matches the Rfam family "Cyanobacterial functional RNA 1". Lineage: Bacteria; Bacillati; Cyanobacteriota; Cyanophyceae; Oscillatoriales; Microcoleaceae. The record is from Rfam by way of RNAcentral.
GCGGAGACCAUUUAGUUUCCGUUCACUCCUCACACCACACUCCGCCCGGACUACUGUUCGGGCGGUU